UGGCACGAAUUACCUAUUAACUUAUCCCCCGGGGGAUUGACGGCACCAGAUAAAAAAUCAAAGGAUAUGACCGUGCCACCAGCCGCGGUAAUACGGAGGGUGCAAGCGUUGUUCGAAAUUAUUGGGCGUAAAGGGCGCGUAGGCGGUUUGGUAAGUCAGAUGUGAAAGCCCAGGGCUCAACCCUGGACGUGCAUUUGAAACUGGAAGACUUGAGUAUGGGAGGGGAUGGUGGAAUUCCUGGUGUAGAGGUGAAAUUCGUAGAUAUCAGGAGGAACACCGAUGGCGAAGGCAACUACCUGGACCAAUACUGACGCUGAGGCGCGAAAGCGUGGGUAGCAAACAGGAUUAGAUACCCUGGUAGUCCACGCCGUAAACGAUGAACACUCGGUGUAGGGAAUAUUAAUCUCUGCUGUGCCCAAGCUAACGCAUUAAGUGUUCCGCCUGGGGAGUACGGUCGCAAGAUUAAAACUCAAA
This 474-nucleotide ribosomal RNA is filed under the name uncultured prokaryote. RNAcentral's name for it is "bacterial SSU rRNA". It matches the Rfam family "Bacterial small subunit ribosomal RNA", at positions 441 to 905 of the family's 1533-position model. The record is from RNAcentral.